GACGAACGCUGGCGGCGUGCUUAACACAUGCCAGUCGAACGGAAAGGCCCUGCUUUUGUGGGGUGCUCGAGUGGCGAACGUGUGAGUAACACGUGAAUAACCUGCCCUUGACUUUGGGAUAACUUCAGGAAACUGGGGCUAAUACCGGAUAGGAGCUCCUGCUGCAUGGUGGGGGUUGGAAAGUUUCGGCGGUUGGGGAUGGACUCGCGGCUUAUCAGCUUGUUGGUGGGGUAGUGGCUUACCAAGGCUUUGACGGGUAGCCGGCCUGAGAGGGUGACCGGCCACAUUGGGACUGAGAUACGGCCCAGACUCCUACGGGAGGCAGCAGUGGGGAAUAUUGCACAAUGGGCGGAAGCCUGAUGCAGCAACGCCGCGUGCGGGAUGACGGCCUUCGGGUUGUAAACCGCUUUCGCCUGUGACGAAGCGUGAGUGACGGUAAUGGGUAAAGAAGCACCGGCUAACUACGUG
This 468-nucleotide ribosomal RNA is filed under the name uncultured bacterium. RNAcentral describes it as "partial 16S ribosomal RNA". It matches the Rfam family "Bacterial small subunit ribosomal RNA", at positions 28 to 507 of the family's 1533-position model. The record is from RNAcentral.